GGCAAGAGCUCAACUUUGGAAUCGCUCCGGCGAGUUGUAGUCUGGAGGUGGCCACCACGAGGUGUUCUAGCAGCAGGCAAGUCCUUUGGAACAAGGCGCCAGCGAGGGUGACAGCCCCGUACCUGCUUUUGCUAGUGCUUCCUGUGGCCCACCGACGAGUCGAGUUGUUUGGGAAUGCAGCUCUAAGUGGGUGGUAAAUUCCAUCUAAGGCUAAAUAUUGGCGAGAGACCGAUAGCGAACAAGUACAGUGAUGGAAAGAUGAAAAGCACUUUGAAAAGAGAGUGAAACAGUACGUGAAAUUGUUGAAAGGGAAGGGCUUGCACCCAGACACGGUUUCGGCCGGUCCAGCAUCAAGUAGAGCGGGGUUAAAAGACUUGGGGAAUGUAGCUACUUCGGAAGAGUUAUAGCCCUUGCUGAUGACCCCUGUUUUGCUUGAGGACAGCGUUCUCUAGGAUGCUGGCGCAAUGGUUGCAAGCCACCCGUCUUGAAACACGGACCAA
Molecule: ribosomal RNA, 500 nt
Filed under: Candidozyma auris
Lineage: Eukaryota; Fungi; Ascomycota; Pichiomycetes; Serinales; Metschnikowiaceae
Description: eukaryotic LSU rRNA
Rfam family: Eukaryotic large subunit ribosomal RNA
Source: RNAcentral